This 301-nucleotide ribosomal RNA is filed under the name uncultured bacterium. RNAcentral describes it as "partial 16S ribosomal RNA". It matches the Rfam family "Bacterial small subunit ribosomal RNA", at positions 509 to 808 of the family's 1533-position model. The record is from RNAcentral.
CAGUAGCCGCGGGAAUACGUAGGUCCCGAGCGUUGUCCGGAUUUAUUGGGCGUAAAGCGAGCGCAGGCGGUUAGAUAAGUCUGAAGUUAAAGGCUAUGGCUUAACCAUAGUACGCUUUGGAAACUGUUUAACUUGAGUGCAAGAGGGGAGAGUGGAAUUCCAUGUGUAGCGGUGAAAUGCGUAGAUAUAUGGAGGAACACCGGUGGCGAAAGCGGCUCUCUGGCUUGUAACUGGCGCUGAGGCUCGAAAGCGUGGGGAGCAAACAGGAUUAGAUACCCCCGUAGUCCCUGUCUCUUAUACA